This is a long non-coding RNA of Hyla sarda, 1865 nucleotides long. RefSeq lists it as uncharacterized. The record is from RefSeq and is a predicted model, not a curated record. The transcript is spliced from 3 exons. NCBI's taxonomy places the organism in Eukaryota, Metazoa, Chordata, Amphibia, Anura, Hylidae.
CCUAUGUGAAGCUCCUCCUUUGUUUCCUUUUUUUUCUUUAUACAGUUUCUCAUGUGGAAAGCCAGGUAACAUGAACAACAAGACUCAUCCAGGAAAAGCUGGCAAAAAAGAUGAAGUCAAGUUGUGGCAUAUGGUUUUACGGAGCCCUGCAGCACUACAGACCCGAGCUUGCCACAAACCACUGUACCUACCUACUUGGACAAUCCGCCUUAAACAGUGGCCCCCAAUUCUAUGCAUGUGACAUCAAGUGAGGAAAAAAUACUUGGAGCUUCCGUAUUUGAAAAACGAAUAAUAACAAGGCUCAAGGAGGCACAAUCAGCUACAAUGGGUUCCAAGGAGAAGAAGACCCAUCUCAGGCAGGUCUCUCUCCUUCAGAAAUAUAUAAUAUCAACCAAAAAAGACAAGAGAACAAGUGUGCCCUUGUGUAUCAGAAGGAAUGGUUAUACAGAGGUGGGUCAAGCAAGUUCUGUAUGUUUCUUUCUCAGUUUUGGAGUUCCCGGAAUACACGAAAACAUUUUCAUUCUUGCUAUGGGGUAACUUUUCCUCUAAGCAUUCUCCUGGACACAUGUGACACUUAUGAUCCCAACCUUAUCCCCCUCCAGAAUUAGUGCAAGUUAGAAAAGAAGUAGAAUAUUGUGAAGGCUCUACGGGCUCUGGUGCUGUAUGAGCAAUGAAGACCAGACAGGUAUGAAGACCAGAUAGGUUAAACCCAAUAUCUGGAGUUUAUAGCAGGGCUAAUUUGGGGGAAGAAGAAACUAUGUGUAGUUUCCCACUGGGUGUUAUUUUAAGAAUAUUUGGUUGGUUGUACUUUGACAUUGCCCUCUGCUGGCUAGAUACUUAGAGGUAUCAGGUCCUAUUGCACAUUGUAUAAUGGUGCUGUGUUAGGUUUACUUACCUGUGCAUUUUGUUGUAUUAUGUUGCUACUUACUGGUGAAUAUUGCAUGCUGUAGAGUAGAUGGGCCCAUUGCAAUACACUUUCCUAUACACAUUUAUGUGGAAGGUUUCGGAAGGUGGGAGGAGCCUGCCUAACUCAACCUCAUUGCCCUUAGAGACAGGAAGUUUGGUUAGGUUAGAGGUAGAGUGGAGUGCCCAAUCUCCCCUCCUCUCACAGAGUUAGGCCUACACCCCAGGAACAUCUAAACCAUACCACUGUUCAGAAAUGCAUAUACAUCACAAUGGACACUACACAGCCCACUCUGAGGAAAAAACAGAUAGAGAAAAGAGUAAGGAUCAAGAUAUAGAGACACUGAGGAGAAGGUCUACCAGCACCCAUUGCUGCACUAGGUCCAUUUAGGCUUCAGGCUGGGCCUAGCAACUUUUGUGUUUUCAGUCACCAUCUACUAGGACCUGCGCCUCUCUGAGGGAAAUGUGGCAUGCCAUUUGCCCAAAAGAAAGAAUAUAAAUGGACACCGCUGUAAACCAACCAGUGUGUAACCUUUCAAUGGAGAGAGACUUUUGGGGCUUAGAGAUGCUACCAGAGACUAUAGCACUUGACAACCCGCCUGACACUCAGGGCAUGCACUGGAAGACCAUUAACAACCACUACAGUCUGCCCCCUAUGCAGCUGGACCACCAGCCUACAAAGUAUGGAAUGAAUCUUCAGAAGCCCUCUGGCCAUCUUCACCAUUAACCAUGACUGGAUUAGCCACCACAAGGCCAAAACACUGAUUCUGUCUUGGUUUUGUUGCAUGGGAAACUUCCAAGAAGCCCACAAUGAAUGAAAUUCAAGGAGCAAUAAAAGUGGAGCAUGUAAACCUACAUUUCUGUGAACCAUUAAUACAGUAUAUAAAUAUCAUUUUGCAUUUACCAGCAGUAUAAUGUGAAAAAUCUAUUGCAGUUACUUGCGCACUAAAUGGCAGUAUUAU